Molecule: ribosomal RNA, 725 nt
Filed under: Ceratocorys horrida
Lineage: Eukaryota; Dinophyceae; Gonyaulacales; Protoceratiaceae
Description: partial large subunit ribosomal RNA
Source: RNAcentral
GGCCUGAARUCMAGCNRARMUAYCSRCUGAAUUUAAGCAUAUAAGUGAGUGGAGGAGAAAAAACCAAACAGGAUUCCUUUAGUAAUAGCGAAUGAAGAAGGAGUAGCUCAGCAUGAUAAUUGGGGCAUCUGGCCUUGAAUUGUAGCUUGAAGAUGCAUUUGCCAAUGGACAUGAUUAUGGAAGCCUUUUGGGAAAAAGCAUCAUCGAGGGUGAGAAUCCUUCUUGACAUUUUAAUUGUCCAUGCACGGUGUGCAUUGAAGAUUCACGUUCCUUGGGAUUUGAACGCAAAAUUGUUGGUAAAUUUCAUUCAAAGCUAAAUACUAGUUUGAGACCGAUAGAAAACAAGUACCAUGAGGGAAAAGUGAAAAGGACUUUGAAAAGAAAGUUAAAAGUGUUUGAAAUUGCUGAAGAGGAAGCGGGUGUAUUUCAAAUACAAUUUUCAAGAUUGUUGCACAUAUUUGUUUUGCCUUGUUGUUUGAUUUAAUUGCAGCAGCAAGUUAUUACUUUGACUGUGCAAUGUUGCUUGUGUUUUGUGCAUCUAACAAUUUACAGCCAUAGAAACAAUCUAAACAUGAAUGUUUGCUUUUGUGUAAACGAACAUUUGGGCUCAGAUUUAGCUUGUGAAUUGUGAACACCAUGUUGACUGCACAAAUUGUUCCACACAUCAAUGUGGGAUAAUUUCACGACAUGAAUGAUUGCUAAAGAAAUACAUUCGGCCCGUCUUG